This 468-nucleotide ribosomal RNA is filed under the name uncultured bacterium. Its description in RNAcentral is "partial 16S ribosomal RNA". It matches the Rfam family "Bacterial small subunit ribosomal RNA", at positions 28 to 507 of the family's 1533-position model. The record is from RNAcentral.
GACGAACGCUGGCGGCGUGCUUAACACAUGCAAGUCGAACGGAAAGGCCCUGCUUCUGUGGGGUGCUCGAGUGGCGAACGGGUGAGUAACACGUGAGUAACCUGCCCUUGACUUUGGGAUAACUUCAGGAAACUGGGGCUAAUACCGGAUAGGAGCUCCUGCUGCAUGGUGGGGGUUGGAAAGUUUCGGCGGUUGGGGAUGGACUCGCGGCUUAUCAGCUUGUUGGUGGGGUAGUGGCUUACCAAGGCUUUGACGGGUAGCCGGCCUGAGAGGGUGACCGGCCACAUGGGGACUGAGAUACGGCCCAGACUCCUACGGGAGGCAGCGGUGGGGAAUAUUGCACAAUGGGCGGAAGCCUGAUGCAGCAACGCCGCGUGCGGGAUGACGGCCUUCGGGUUGUAAACCGCUUUCGCCUGUGACGAAGCGUGAGUGACGGUAAUGGGUAAAGAAGCACCGGCUAACUACGUG